Molecule: long non-coding RNA, 131 nt
Organism: Gopherus evgoodei (Goodes thornscrub tortoise)
Lineage: Eukaryota; Metazoa; Chordata; Testudines; Testudinidae
Exons: 3
Source: RefSeq, a predicted model, not a curated record
UCUGCCUCUCCUGGAAAACCGCUUUCCUGGUGGCCAUCACAUCUGCGAGACAGGUUUCGGAACUUCGGGCCCUCACCGUGGACCCCCCGUAUAUGGUGUUCCACUGAGAAAAGGUGCAACUGUGGCCACAC